RNAcentral lists this long non-coding RNA (283 nucleotides) under Brassica napus (rape). Its description in RNAcentral is "long non-coding RNA (BNAP_LNC021737)". The record is from RNAcentral. Lineage: Eukaryota; Viridiplantae; Streptophyta; Magnoliopsida; Brassicales; Brassicaceae.
UUUGAAGCACUAAGAGAAAAUGGAAACAGAGGAUCGCUUGAUCCCAUUCCAGACCAGAACUGGAUCUAUCGUUUCAUUGAAAACAAACAAAGUGGUCGGCUCAGCAAACCGCAUCGAUCAAUGCAACUUUCUAAUCGAUCGAUUUAAAAUUGCAAACAAAGUAAUAGAUCGAUGCAACAUCCCAAUUGAUCGAUUGGACGAGCACAAGACGAAAAAAUCUGUCAGGAAAAAAUGCAUUGGUCGAUUGAAAAAUCUGAUCGAUCAAUAGGACCCGCACGAGCAG